GCUGCUGUGGCUCAGUCGGUAGAGCACGUCCUUGGUAAGGACGAGGUCGGCGGUUCAAGUCCGCUCAGCAGCUCCA
RNAcentral lists this transfer RNA (76 nucleotides) under Clostridiales bacterium. RNAcentral describes it as "tRNA-Thr". It matches the Rfam family "tRNA". Rfam says of the family: Transfer RNA (tRNA) molecules are approximately 80 nucleotides in length. Their secondary structure includes four short double-helical elements and three loops (D, anti-codon, and T loops). Further hydrogen bonds mediate the characteristic L-shaped molecular structure. tRNAs have two regions of fundamental functional importance: the anti-codon, which is responsible for specific mRNA codon recognition, and the 3' end, to which the tRNAs corresponding amino acid is attached (by aminoacyl-tRNA synthetases). tRNAs cope with the degeneracy of the genetic code in two manners: having more than one tRNA (with a specific anti-codon) for a particular amino acid; and 'wobble' base-pairing, i.e. permitting non-standard base-pairing at the 3rd anti-codon position. The record is from RNAcentral. Lineage: Bacteria; Bacillati; Bacillota; Clostridia; Eubacteriales.